RNAcentral lists this ribosomal RNA (505 nucleotides) under uncultured bacterium. RNAcentral's name for it is "partial 16S ribosomal RNA". It matches the Rfam family "Bacterial small subunit ribosomal RNA", at positions 28 to 507 of the family's 1533-position model. The record is from RNAcentral.
GACGAACGCUGGCGGCGUGCCUAAUACAUGCGAGUAGAACGCACAGUUUAUACCGUAGCUUGCUACACCAUAGACUGUGAGUUGCGAACGGGUGAGUAACGCGUAGGUAACCUGCCUGGUAGCGGGGGAUAACUAUUGGAAACGAUAGCUAAUACCGCAUAAUAUUGAUUAUUGCAUGAUAAUUAAUUGAAAGGUGCAAUUGCACCACUACCAGAUGGACCUGCGUUGUAUUAGCUAGUAGGUGAGGUAACGGCUCACCUAGGCGACGAUACAUAGCCGACCUGAGAGGGUGAUCGGCCACACUGGGACUGAGACACGGCCCAGACUCCUACGGGAGGCAGCAGUAGGGAAUCUUCGGCAAUGGACGAAAGUCUGACCGAGCAACGCCGCGUGAGUGAAGAAGGUUUUCGGAUCGUAAAGCUCUGUUGUAAGAGAAGAACGGGUGUGAGAGUGGAAAGUUCACACUGUGACGGUAGCUUACCAGAAAGGGACGGCUAACUACGUG